GUACAAUUAGCAUCCGCCAGGGAACUACGAGCACUAGCUUAAAACCCAAAGGACUUGGCGGUGCCUCAGACCCCCCUAGAGGAGCCUGUUCUAGAACCGAUAAUCCCCGUUUAACCUCACCACCCCUUGCCCCUUCCGCCUAUAUACCACCGUCGCCAGCUUACCCUGUGAAGGAAUUAGUAAGCAAAAUGGAAAUUUUCCAGAACGUCAGGUCGAGGUGUAGCACACGGAGUGGGAAGAAAUGGGCUACAUUGCCUAAUAUAGACUACUACGGAAAGUCGCCUGAAAGGGCUAUUUUAAGGUGGAUUUAGCAGUAAAAGGGGAAUAGAGAGCCC
RNAcentral lists this ribosomal RNA (335 nucleotides) under Encrasicholina heteroloba (shorthead anchovy). RNAcentral describes it as "partial 12S ribosomal RNA". It matches the Rfam family "Bacterial small subunit ribosomal RNA", at positions 855 to 1359 of the family's 1533-position model. Lineage: Eukaryota; Metazoa; Chordata; Actinopteri; Clupeiformes; Engraulidae. The record is from RNAcentral.